GGUUGGGCUGUUCGCCCAUUAAAGCGGCACGCGAGCUGGGUUUAGAACGUCGUGAGACAGUUCGGUCCCUAUCCGCCGCGCGCGCAGGAGACUUGAGAAAGGCUGUCCCUAGUACGAGAGGACCGGGAUGGACGAACCUCUGGUGUGCCAGUUGUUCCGCCAGGAGCACGGCUGGUUAGCUACGUUCGGAAGUGAUAACCGCUGAAAGCAUCUAAGCGGGAAGCACGUUUCAAGAUGAGGUCUCCCACCGGGUUAACCGGGUAAGGCCCCCAGUAGACGACUGGGUUGAUAGGCCGGAGGUGUACAGCAGAAAUGCCCAGCCGACCGGUACUAAUAGGCCGAGGGCUUGUCCCU
This 354-nucleotide ribosomal RNA is filed under the name Nocardioides sp. RNAcentral describes it as "partial 23S ribosomal RNA". It matches the Rfam family "Bacterial large subunit ribosomal RNA", at positions 2570 to 2925 of the family's 2925-position model. Lineage: Bacteria; Bacillati; Actinomycetota; Actinomycetes; Propionibacteriales; Nocardioidaceae. The record is from RNAcentral.